UCAACCCUCGACUUCCCUUUGGGGAAAUCGGCGUUGGGGAACGGCAGCAUACCGCCGGCCCCGAAAUGGAGUGGCGGCCCGUCCGCGGCGACCUCUGCGUAGUAUCCAACUCGCACCGGAACCCCGACGUGGCCACGCCGUAAAACACCCAACUUCUGAACGUUGACCUCGGAUCAGGUAGGAAUACCCGCUGAACUUAA
This 200-nucleotide unclassified non-coding RNA is filed under the name soil metagenome. RNAcentral's name for it is "partial contains internal transcribed spacer 2 and large subunit ribosomal RNA". The record is from RNAcentral.